UACGUAGGGUGCAAGCGUUAUCCAGAUUUACUGGGCGUAAAGCGCACGCAGGCGGAUGAUUAAGUCAGCUGUGAAAGCUCCCGGCUCAACUGGGAAGGGUCGGCUGAAACUGGUCGUCUGGAGGGCAACAGAGGAGUGUAGAAUUGCGGGUGUAGUGGUGAAAUGCGUAGAUAUCCGCAGGAAUACCAGUGGCGAAGGCGGCACUCUGGGUUGUACCUGACGCUGAGAUGCGAAAGCGUGGGGAGCAAACAGG
This 253-nucleotide ribosomal RNA is filed under the name uncultured bacterium. Its description in RNAcentral is "partial 16S ribosomal RNA". It matches the Rfam family "Bacterial small subunit ribosomal RNA", at positions 524 to 776 of the family's 1533-position model. The record is from RNAcentral.